UACGUAGGGGGCUAGCGUUGUCCGGAAUCAUUGGGCGUAAAGAGCGUGUAGGCGGUCCGGUAAGUCCGCUGUGAAAGUCGGGGGCUCAACCCUCGAAUGCCGGUGGAUACUGUCGGGCUAGAGUGCGGAAGAGGCGAGUGGAAUUCCUGGUGUAGCGGUGAAAUGCGCAGAUAUCAGGAGGAACACCUAUUGCGAAGGCAGCUCGCUGGGACGUAACUGACGCUGAGACGCGAAAGCGUGGGGAGCAAAGAGG
RNAcentral lists this ribosomal RNA (253 nucleotides) under uncultured bacterium. RNAcentral describes it as "partial 16S ribosomal RNA". It matches the Rfam family "Bacterial small subunit ribosomal RNA", at positions 524 to 776 of the family's 1533-position model. The record is from RNAcentral.